GAAGGACCAGAGUGAGGACAUAUGUGUGGGAGAAGAUUCUAGAAGCUCUUGAGAGAAUCCAGAUGAAAGUCAGCGAGGAGCUGUACUGCUGGAGCUGCAGAGAAAAUGGAAAG
Molecule: non-coding RNA, 113 nt
Organism: Equus caballus (horse)
Lineage: Eukaryota; Metazoa; Chordata; Mammalia; Perissodactyla; Equidae
Source: Rfam